AGUCGAACGGUGACGACCANCUUGCUGGUCUGAUCAGUGGCGAACGGGUGAGUAACACGUGAGCAACCUACCCUUCACUCUGGGAUAAGCCUUGGAAACGGGGUCUAAUACCGGAUACGAGACGCACGGGCAUCUGUAGCGUCUGGAAAGAUUUAUCGGUGGGGGAUGGGCUCGCGGCCUAUCAGCUUGUUGGUGGGGUAAUGGCCUACCAAGGCGACGACGGGUAGCCGGCCUGAGAGGGCGACCGGCCACACUGGGACUGAGACACGGCCCAGACUCCUACGGGAGGCAGCAGUGGGGAAUAUUGCACAAUGGGCGCAAGCCUGAUGCAGCGACGCCGCGUGCGGGAUGACGGCCUUCGGGUUGUAAACCGCUUUCAGCAGGGAAGAAGCGCAAGUGACGGUACCUGCAGAAGAAGCGCCGGCUAACUACGUGCCAGCAGCCGCGGUAAUACGUAGGGCGCAAGCGUUGUCCGGAAUUAUUGGGCGUAAAGAGCUCGUAGGCGGUUUGUCGCGUCUGCUGUGAAAACCUCAGGCUCAACCUGGGGCUUGCAGUGGGUACGGGCAGACUAGAGUGCGGUAGGGGUGACUGGAAUUCCUGGUGUAGCGGUGGAAUGCGCAGAUAUCAGGAGGAACACCGAUGGCGAAGGCAGGUCACUGGGCCGCAACUGACGCUGAGGAGCGAAAGCAUGGGGAGCGAACAGGAUUAGAUACCCUGGUAGUCCAUGCCGUAAACGUUGGGCACUAGGUGUGGGGUCCAUUCCACGGAUUCCGUGCCGCAGCAAACGCAUUAAGUGCCCCGCCUGGGGAGUACGGCCGCAAGGCUAAAACUCAAAGAAAUUGACGGGGGCCCGCACAAGCGGCGGAGCAUGCGGAAUUA
RNAcentral lists this ribosomal RNA (879 nucleotides) under Cellulomonas sp. VC-CS341. Its description in RNAcentral is "bacterial SSU rRNA". It matches the Rfam family "Bacterial small subunit ribosomal RNA", at positions 60 to 949 of the family's 1533-position model. Lineage: Bacteria; Bacillati; Actinomycetota; Actinomycetes; Micrococcales; Cellulomonadaceae. The record is from RNAcentral.